Egretta garzetta (little egret) is the source of this 4765-nucleotide RNA transcript. It is a transcript of the gene named YY1 associated factor 2, with no coding region annotated. The transcript has 4 exons. The record is from RefSeq and is a predicted model, not a curated record. NCBI's taxonomy places the organism in Eukaryota, Metazoa, Chordata, Aves, Pelecaniformes, Ardeidae.
GGCAAGAUGUGUAUAAUUUCAUAGGAAACCAGGGAGUAAGAUGAAUUUGAAAGCAGAAUUGUAUCAGCUCAUUGAUAGGAAACCUCGACCUGUCUCUCAGCUGGUUGCACAACAGGUUCCUCAACAAUUCGUGCCCCCUACACAAUCAAAGAAAGAGAAAAAAGACAAAGUAGAAAAGGAAAAAAGUGAAAAGGAAACAACAAGCAAAAAGAACAGUCAUAAGAAAACAAGGCCAAGAUUGAAAAAUGUGGAUCGAAGUAGCGCUCAGCAUUUGGAAGUUACCGUUGGAGAUCUGACAGUCAUAAUUACAGACUUUAAGGAGAAAACUAAGUCACCGCCUGCUUCCAGUGCUGCUUCUGCAGAUCAACACAGUCAGAGUGGUUCUAGCUCUGACAACACAGAGAGGGGAAUGUCCAGGUCAUCUUCGCCCAGAGGAGAAGCGUCAUCACUGAAUGGGGAAUCUCAUUAAAGUUUCUUUCCUCCAGUUUCUUUAGUCUCUUCUCUUCAAAACAUGCAAAUACAUAACUUCUGUCACCUGUUACCACAUUUUCAUGACAGAUUAUCCAUGCACAAUUGGUGGGACUAUUUGCAGAAUAUACUGGUGUAAUGGAUUACAGGAGAGCUGAAACUGUUCAAAGUAAGCAGUUUAAUGAUAGCAAAUCUCAUUGCAAGAUGUUUUAUGAAAUGUGUUUCUAAUUUAAAAUGUAAUGAAUGCUAACACAUUUCAGAAUUCCUUGCAAACAAAUAAUAAUCUAUUACCAGUAGUUCACUAAAUGGGAAACGUAUUUUCAUUUAACUUUAUGUGAAUAAACCACCCAGCACUGCCAACAAGAGGUCUCUUUGUAUCUUCGGAAAUAAGUAGCCAUUUGGUUUGGAAGGAAGGGAGGAUGGAGUGGAUUUUACUGUGAUUCAACCGUCUCUAGAGAAUAAUCUCAAAAAUGUGGUACAAGUAUAGUUAUAAUCAAAAAGAAUGGAGAAAGGUCUCACUGUUCUUCAUGGAAUAAGACAUAGAAAAGCGAUUUUCUAACCACAGUUACAACACAAGUCAGCUAGGAUCUAAAAACUGAGCUGUGGUGGUUUUAAUUGAACUAUUGUGUUGCCAGUGUUUACAUUGCAGUGAUGCCUAUUUUGGCAUUAGACAAAGUUAAGGUAAUUUUUGCCUGUGUGUGAUUAAAGGGAUGUGACGAUACUGACAGCAGACAAAUUCUAAGUAGGCUCUGUUCAUAAUGUUAUAAUUUAAAUGAACUUCACUUUCAUAAUUUCAAAAUAAUUUUGACUUGUAGUAAUCCUAAGUCCUUUUUCUAACUGUAAAUAUAUUUAAAAACAUCUUUACUCCAUUUAUAAAAAGUGAAAAUUUAAUGUUGUAAUGUGUUUUGAUUAGCUAUUUUUCUCUGUGACUGCUCUCUGCAUAAGAACUGUUACUUGUUAAAUUCUAUAUAUGCACCAGUCUUCAACAGCCAUACAUCCUGGGUUGUUCAUGAAACGGUCACCCAACAAAGACAGUUGUGAUAGUGUUCCAUGUAAAUGAGUUCCUUUAUGUGCUGAUUGAUUCUCCAGUUUCAGAAAGGAAAAAGGGGGAGGAAUGAUGAAAAAUGAAGUUCAUGGAUAAAGUGUACAAUUAUUCAGACUCUUAUCUUCCUAAAUUUGCCACUAAUUAUAGGCGGUAUAAGGAAAAGAGCAAAUACACAGUUGUAGACUGUGAUCCUUUUUUUUCCUGAAAUUAAGUAUGUAUAUUGGAGAUAAACACAAGUUGUUCUACUUAGUAGCAGGUUAAAUUAUGCCAUAUAAAAUCUUGAUUCUAAUAGAAGUGAUAGGAAAAAAAAUGAAAAUUACAUUAAGUAACUUAAAAAUUCUUGCUAUUAAAAGUCUUGAAAUUAAGACUAAGACUGAAGUUUUAACCUGUUACAUGUUUCUCUAGAUAUUUGAUGUUUUGUGGCAUAGAUUGUAAAAUCUCAAAAUUUUUUUUGAUUUUAUAAUUUGUGCACUUUUUCUAAUAUUAUGGAUAGCACAUUUUUAGGUAGCCAUGUAAGAUAGAAUACUUUUGAUAAUUUAUUUCUACCAGUUCACUCUAGUGUUCAGGCAGGUCUUUUAAACUUGACACAAGUGUAUGGCUCUGCAUCUUGGAUUCUUUCAUUUUUUCUCUUCCUGUCUCAAAAGUCUGACAGUUUCCCACGUUAUGCUGAUUGAUUAUACAGGAUGGAUUUGGCAUGGAACUGUCUACUGUGUACUUCUUAUCCAGGGUUCUUUAACUGUAUCUGCUUGCCUUUAUUUGACUCUGCCUCCUGCUAGGGAGUCUGGGUAUGCUUCCUUUCAAAUAUCAGAAACUAUAUGGAAAUAGAAAUGCGAUUUAAUUUAAUUUCUCCAAAGGCAGAAGCAAGUGCUAUACUUGCAGUAAAAUUGGUCUGUGCUUACUCAGAAAUAAGAUAGGUAAGAGUAAAAGUUAAUGCUGGUUUUGGCUAUGGUAAUUUGCAAAUGUGUACUUCUAUGGAUGUUAAGAUUUGGGUUUGCUGGAGCUUUCAAAGAUUUUUCUUACCUGAAAUUAUGCCCCGACUUAUGUCAAAGCAGCUUCAGUUUGAAAGGGUGUAUCUUCACAAACUAGCAAAAGCUGUACAGUAAAAUCAAACUGAGGAAGCUCAGUUGGUUUUCUUUUGUACUUUCUCCUCUUGUUGAGAAAGACUUGUCUAAGACAAAAACCAACUACUAAGUUUAGUUUGACAUCUGAAGAACCUGUGUUUUAAUAGAAAUUAACAAGAUUCAUCUACUAAAUUAAAAUCUGAAAAGUACUUCACCAGUUAACUACAAAUCAGUGCUUUACAGAAAUUAUUUUAACUUCCUGUCUAGAUGGAUACAGAUGGAGUAAAUGGUGCAACAGCACUGGAUAGCUGCAUGCUUGCUAGGAAGUGGUAUUAUCCAACAACAAGUGACGUUAAAGUGACUUUGCUAAGACAUUACACAGGAAGAUUGUGAUAUGUCUGUGAACAAGGCCUAGGAGUCCAGGUCGUGUGUCCCCCUGCCCCACCCCCACCUAAACUGUACCAUUAGAUUCAACCAGAGAAAGAAAAUCCCAUGAACAAAUAAAUUAGUUUCAGAUCCUAGAGUCUUAGUAAUGCAGGAGCUGUUUACAGCGUCUGUUUAACUGCAUCAGUGAAAAUUAAUUAAAGUGAACCACCACUGUAUAAUACUUAAUCCCUCAGGAGAUGUUUUUGAUCCCCAUCUUGUCCCUUUUAUGAUGGAAAACAGGUAAAAGUAAUCUGAAAGAACUUGCUCUUGUCCACUGACACAGGGGAUUUUAAGAGGAGACAGUUUAAUGUGCACAGGAAGUUUCAGCUGCACUUUUAAGGAGUUAAACAUGGAAGAUGAAGGGCAAAAGCAUAUUCCAUAGCUCAAAUGAGUAUUACUGAGAAUGAUCACAGGAGAUUGCUGUACCAUUUGGGGUUUGUAAAAGACAAAAUGGUAACGCUGUCUAAUCACUCCUUGUCCUAUAUGUUUAAAAAGAAAAUUACCACCAGAAAGAAUAUUGUUCCAGUAACAACAAUUCAAAGAAUAAUUCCAAAAUGUUAAUUAUUUUGUGGAAAGUAUGGCAUUUCUUGACAGAGAUAGGAAUAUCUGAGCAAGAAGCCCUUUAGGACUACAUUUCUAGGAUCUCAGCCACCUGGGAAAGUGUAAUCUUUAAUUACACUGUUCUCUGUGUAUAAAUAUUGAUCUCAGUCAAAGUGCUUGCAAAGCGAACAAGGUCCCCUAAACUUUAAGAUUUUAAGAAAAGUGGCUUUAGACCAAUGGAGCUCUAACUUACAAUGGAGUUAUUGAGAAGUCAACUGAGGAAAAGAGAGUAUUAAUCUAUUUUUUGAUAACCUGCUCAUAACUUUCUCCUUCUGUAUGAAGAAGCAGAAGUAUACAGAAGAAGGAAAUAUAUGUAACCAGGGCUUACAAAAUUUGGCUCUUUACCCUUUACUCAAGCUCAGUAGAAUCUACAAACUACAAAUUCUGUUUGGUUCAAAGGCAGUUGCAGGUACUUUGUCACUAGAAAAGGAUGGAGGUGUUCAGUCACUUUGCAUCUAUUAGUUAAGACCAGGGAGUGGUCAGGCUGAUCGUACUUUCUGAAUACCCACUUCGGGAAUACAGAGAUCUAAUUUGCUAUUUAUAUGCAUCUAAUAUAUAACUGCCAUCCAUGAACAAUCUAUUUCAAGCUGAUCCUUCUUUGCACAGAAUAAAUCAAAAUGCUUCAAUGCCAAGCCCGGUUCCUGAUGGCGCAGAUCUCUGAGCGAGAAAAUCUGCCAUCUGACUGAUCAUCUCUUACUGUAACAGCCUGCAGCUAUGAAUUAAUUUCAGCAAGGGAAAUCUCUUCAGAGUACAUGUAUUUGUUGAGUAUCACUACUCCCACCUCUGAAGGAAACACAUUCUGAUUCCUUCUCUAUUUUUUUUUCUGAAGUACAUCUAUAGCGUAAGUGGAUGCAGUGAGUUUGAACUAAUUUGUUCUGACUGCUUUUUUAAGUGGGGAAUUUGACUGCUAUUCCCAGUUCUCCAGCUAGGUUGCUGUAAGACUAACAAUGGUGUGUAGAGCUUAGAGGUCAUCCGUCAAUGUUGUCACCGUUGUCCUUGUUUCUAUACAAUUGACUUACUGAACAGAUUCUUGCUGAGCAAACUUAACUUACACCAGCCCUGUACCAUUCAGGCAUUCUGGCUGAGGUAGCUGGCGUUCUGGGAUGCCAAUUACUGGUCUUCAUAUCUGCAUUCCUGCAAAUAGUCUGAUUCUAUUGCUGGGAGG